CGCGUGUAUGAAGAAGGCCUUCGGGUUGUAAAGUACUUUCAGCGGGGAGGAAGGGAGUAAAGUUAAUACCUUUGCUCAUUGACGUUACCCGCAGAAGAAGCACCGGCUAACUCCGUGCCAGCAGCCGCGGUAAUACGGAGGGUGCAAGCGUUAAUCGGAAUUACUGGGCGUAAAGCGCACGCAGGCGGUUUGUUAAGUCAGAUGUGAAAUCCCCGGGCUCAACCUGGGAACUGCAUCUGAUACUGGCAAGCUUGAGUCUCGUAGAGGGGGGUAGAAUUCCAGGUGUAGCGGUGAAAUGCGUAGAGAUCUGGAGGAAUACCGGUGGCGAAGGCGGCCCCCUGGACGAAGACUGACGCUCAGGUGCGAAAGCGUGGGGAGCAAACAGGAUU
RNAcentral lists this ribosomal RNA (389 nucleotides) under Shigella flexneri. RNAcentral describes it as "bacterial SSU rRNA". It matches the Rfam family "Bacterial small subunit ribosomal RNA", at positions 398 to 779 of the family's 1533-position model. The record is from RNAcentral. Lineage: Bacteria; Pseudomonadati; Pseudomonadota; Gammaproteobacteria; Enterobacterales; Enterobacteriaceae.